This 708-nucleotide ribosomal RNA is filed under the name uncultured bacterium. RNAcentral describes it as "bacterial SSU rRNA". It matches the Rfam family "Bacterial small subunit ribosomal RNA", at positions 14 to 719 of the family's 1533-position model. The record is from RNAcentral.
UGAUCAUGGCUCAGGAUGAACGCUAGCGGCAGGCCUAAUACAUGCAAGUCGAGGGGUAAGGUCUCUUUCGGGAGACACACGACCGGCGCACGGGUGCGUAACGCGUAUGCAACCUACCUUUAACAGAGGGAUAGCCCCGAGAAAUCGGGAUUAAUACCACAUAACACCACAUUGUUUCAUGACAGAGUGGUUAAAGCUCCGGCGGUUAAAGAUGGGCAUGCGUGACAUUAGCUAGUUGGUGAGGUAACUGCUCACCAAGGCAACGAUGUCUAGGGGUUCUGAGAGGAUGAUCCCCCACACUGGUACUGAGACACGGACCAGACUCCUACGGGAGGCAGCAGUAAGGAAUAUUGCGCAAUGGAGGCAACUCUGACGCAGCCAUGCCGCGUGCAGGAAGAAGGCCUUAUGGGUCGUAAACUGCUUUUAUUUAGGAAUAAUCCCCCCAACGUGUUGGGGGUUGAAGGUACUAAACGAAUAAGCACCGGCUAACUCCGUGCCAGCAGCCGCGGUAAUACGGAGGGUGCAAGCGUUAUCCGGAUUUAUUGGGUUUAAAGGGUGCGCAGGCGGACUGGUAAGUCAGUGGUGAAAUCCCGGGGCUCAACCCCGGAACUGCCAUUGAUACUGUCAGUCUUGAAUACGGUUGAAGUAGGCGGAAUGUAGCAUGUAGCGGUGAAAUGCAUAGAGAUGCUACAGAACACCGAUCGCGAA